GAGGGUAUAGCUCAAGUGGUAGAGUACAUGCUUAGCAUGCGUGAGGUUCAGAGUUCAAUUCCUAGUACCUUCA
This 73-nucleotide transfer RNA is filed under the name Camelus bactrianus (Bactrian camel). It matches the Rfam family "tRNA". Rfam says of the family: Transfer RNA (tRNA) molecules are approximately 80 nucleotides in length. Their secondary structure includes four short double-helical elements and three loops (D, anti-codon, and T loops). RNAcentral also lists the same sequence under 2 other names. The record is from Rfam by way of RNAcentral. Lineage: Eukaryota; Metazoa; Chordata; Mammalia; Artiodactyla; Camelidae.